RNAcentral lists this ribosomal RNA (253 nucleotides) under uncultured prokaryote. RNAcentral describes it as "partial 16S ribosomal RNA". It matches the Rfam family "Bacterial small subunit ribosomal RNA", at positions 525 to 777 of the family's 1533-position model. The record is from RNAcentral.
ACAGAGGGUGCGAGCGUUGUCCGGAAUCACUGGGCGUAAAGGGCGCGUAGGCGGCGCGGUAAGCGUGUGGUGAAAGCCCGGGGCUCAACCCCGGGUCGGCCGUGCGGACUGCCGGGCUGGAGCACUGUAGAGGCAGGUGGAAUUCCGGGUGUAGCGGUGGAAUGCGUAGAGAUCCGGAGGAACACCGGUGGCGAAGGCGGCUAUCUGGACAGAAACUGACGCUGAGGCGCGAAAGCUAGGGGAGCAAACAGGA